AUUGAACGCUGGCGGCAGGCCUAACACAUGCAAGUCGAGCGGAGCGGCGGACGGGUGCGUAAUGAUUAGGAAUCUGCCUGGUAGCGGGGGAUAACGUCCGGUAACGGGAGCUAAUACUGCAUACUAUUAGAAUCGCAUAGGUCGGAUUAGCUAGGUGGUGGGGUAAAGGCCUACCAAGGCGACGAUCCGUAACUGGUCUGAGAGGAUGAGCAGUCACACUGGAACUGAGACACGGUCCAGAGUCCUACGGGAGGCAGCAGUGGGGAAUAUUGGACAAGGGGCGAAAGCCUGAUCCAGCCAUGCCGCGUGUAUGAAGAAGGCCUUCGGGUUGUAAAGUACUUUCAGCGGGGAGGCGUUACCCGCAGAAGAAGCACCGGCUAACUCCGUGCCAGCAGCCGCGGUAAUUC
RNAcentral lists this ribosomal RNA (407 nucleotides) under uncultured bacterium. RNAcentral's name for it is "partial 16S ribosomal RNA". It matches the Rfam family "Bacterial small subunit ribosomal RNA", at positions 30 to 526 of the family's 1533-position model. The record is from RNAcentral.